CGGAGUGUAGCUCAGCCUGGUAGAGCGCUGUCUUCGGGAGGCAGAAGCCGGAGGUUCGAAUCCUCUCACUCCGA
Molecule: transfer RNA, 74 nt
Filed under: Rubrimonas cliftonensis
Lineage: Bacteria; Pseudomonadati; Pseudomonadota; Alphaproteobacteria; Rhodobacterales; Paracoccaceae
Rfam family: tRNA
About the family: Transfer RNA (tRNA) molecules are approximately 80 nucleotides in length.
Source: Rfam by way of RNAcentral